RNAcentral lists this ribosomal RNA (532 nucleotides) under uncultured bacterium. RNAcentral describes it as "bacterial SSU rRNA". It matches the Rfam family "Bacterial small subunit ribosomal RNA", at positions 791 to 1320 of the family's 1533-position model. The record is from RNAcentral.
UAGUCCACGCCGUAAACGAUGAAAACUUGCUGUUAGAUAUAUAAAUGUAUUUAGUGGCGUAGCUAACGCGAUAAGUUUUCCGCCUGGGGAGUACGAUCGCAAGGUUAAAACUCAAAGGAAUUGACGGGGGCCCGCACAAGCGGUGGAGCAUGUGGUUUAAUUCGAUGCUACACGAAAAACCUUACCUACUCUUGAUCUCCUUAACUAAAUAGAGAUAUUUGGGUGCCUUAGGGAAUUGGAUGACAGGUGUUGCAUGGCUGUCGUCAGCUCGUGUUGUGAAAUGUUGGGUUAAGUCCCGUAACGAGCGCAACCCUCAUCCUUAGUUACUAACAAGUUAUGUUGAGCACUUUAAGGAAACUGCCGGCGAUAAUCCGGAGGAAGGUGGGGACACGUCAAGUCAUUAUGGCCUUUAUGAGUAGGGGCUACACACGUGCUACAAUAGUUGAUACAAAGGGGUCGCAAAACCGCGAGGUGGAGCAAAUCUUUUAAAGUCAAUUGCAGUCCGGGAUUGGGAGUCUGCAACUCGACUCCA